This is a long non-coding RNA of Hippopotamus amphibius kiboko, 715 nucleotides long. RefSeq lists it as uncharacterized. The record is from RefSeq and is a predicted model, not a curated record. Lineage: Eukaryota; Metazoa; Chordata; Mammalia; Artiodactyla; Hippopotamidae. The transcript has 4 exons.
UAAGGUGGCAUUUUUCAGUCCUGGAGACGCACGCUGUUGUUUUUCCAGCUUCACAGAUGUGGAAACUGAAGAACAGAGAGAUUAAGCUGGCGUUCCGAGUAAACGGUGGGGCUGGGUUGCGAAUCCUCUUCCUCCUUAGGCUAAAGUCUGUUUUCUUUUCGUUUACCACCAACGUUUUUUGGGAGCUGGUGGCACAGUGAUAAGGCCCUGACGAGUAGGGAGCACCUCAUCACUGCCGCAUACGUGCAAGCUUUGGCGCUUAAAGCUCACAGACCCACUUUCAUAACCACUUUCUUCACGGUGGGCUUAGCGGUGGAGACCACGGGCUUUAUGGACCGCUGAAUCUGGAGACAGGUCCUGGGUCUGUUAUUGACUGUGUGACGCUCUGAAUAAGUCAUGUUUCCCAUCGUGAGACUUCGUUCCUCGUCUGUAAAGUGGGAAUAGUAAUAUCUGUUUCAUAGGAUCACACACUCCUAUGUUGCAGGGAUGUCUGAGGACAAAUGGGAAUUCUCACUGACUUCCAAGACUACCCUGGGGCAGAUAAGGAAGUUGAUGCUUCGGAAGCUUAAGGGACACCAUACCCUCUGCUCCAGAAACUGAGAGUGUGGCUGUAGUCUUCGCUAAGAAUGCCCUUAUAUGACAGCGCCUGGCACACAGUAGGCGGUCAAUAGAUAUUUACUGCAUGAACAAAUAAUAAAGGUAUGUUAUAACCCCC